This is a transfer RNA of 74 nucleotides. It matches the Rfam family "tRNA". From Rfam's summary of the family: Transfer RNA (tRNA) molecules are approximately 80 nucleotides in length. Their secondary structure includes four short double-helical elements and three loops (D, anti-codon, and T loops). Further hydrogen bonds mediate the characteristic L-shaped molecular structure. tRNAs have two regions of fundamental functional importance: the anti-codon, which is responsible for specific mRNA codon recognition, and the 3' end, to which the tRNAs corresponding amino acid is attached (by aminoacyl-tRNA synthetases). tRNAs cope with the degeneracy of the genetic code in two manners: having more than one tRNA (with a specific anti-codon) for a particular amino acid; and 'wobble' base-pairing, i.e. permitting non-standard base-pairing at the 3rd anti-codon position. The record is from Rfam.
GUCUGGUUAGCUCAGUUGGUUAGAGCGUGGUGCUAAUAACGCCAAGGUCGCGAGUUCGACCCUCGUACUGGACA